RNAcentral lists this unclassified non-coding RNA (286 nucleotides) under Hevea brasiliensis (rubber tree). Lineage: Eukaryota; Viridiplantae; Streptophyta; Magnoliopsida; Malpighiales; Euphorbiaceae. The record is from RNAcentral.
AAAUGGGUUAAAAAAAAAGAGGAGCAGAGGGACAGCCAAAAUCACAGGCAAAAUGAUGUUCUGUAUACUGCUGCUGAAUCACCAUCCUGAAUUGAAAUUGUAUGAUCUGAUUUGAGAUCAUAGCAACCACAGAUCAGGGGCUGAAACAUCUGGUUAGGAAUUUGUUGUAACAGCAGCUUCUUUUGGUGCAAGUACAUAUAAUGUUGUUUUUUUACAUUGCCAUAGAAAGUUAACUGGUUAUUCAAUUCCCUUAAUUGGUUUGGAAAUAGGAUAUACAUUUAUUAUU